UGGGCUUCAGCUAUCACUUGAUCAGUUGAUCUCUGCCCGCUCUUCCACUCCAUCCGAAGUGCCCUUUCAUGGCCUCCGGUAGCCGCCGCGGUCUCCUUCCGAUACCGUCCUCCUCCGACCCCGCCGAAAACGCAGCCCAACCCGCAGGCUCAGCCGUCAGCAAAGCCAUAGCUCAGUUCUCCGUCGACGCCCGCCUCCACGCCGCCUUCGAACAGUCCGCUGGCGGUGGAGCCCGCUUCUUGGAAUAUUCACAAUCCAUACUCACCCCUUCCUCCUCCUUCCUUGUCUCUCCCGAACACCACCACAUCGCCGCCUAUCUCUGCAAGAUUCAACGCGGUGGCCAUAUCCAACCCUUCGGCUGCACCCUCGCUGUUGACGAGCCCUCCUUCCGAAUCAUCGCUUUCUCCGCCAACACUUCCGAUCUCCUCGACCUCAACCACCAAUCCGUCCCCUCUCUCGACGAUGAUGGUGAUAAGAAGCCCGAGCCCCUCGCCAUCGGCACUGAUGCCCGCUCCCUCUUCACUCCGCCUGGCUCAGUACUCCUUGAACGCGCUGCGAACGCCCGCGAGAUAACUCUCUUGAACCCUCUCUGGGUCCAUUCGAGGAAAUCCGGUAAGCCCUUUUAUGCCAUUCUUCACCGCAUAGACGUCGGUAUUGUCAUCGAUCUGGAGCCUGCAAGGACGGAGGACCCCGCACUAUCCGUCGCGGGUGCCGUUCAGUCCCAGAAGUUAGCCGUUCGCGCGAUCUCCAGUCUCCAGGCACUCCCAGGCGGUGACAUCAAGUUGCUUUGUGAAACAGUUGUUCGGCAUGUCCAGGAGCUAACAGGCUACGAUCGGGUGAUGGUAUAUAAGUUUCACGUUGACGAGCAUGGAGAGGUUUUAGCGGAGAGCAAGAGGGACGACCUCGAGCCCUACCUUGGCCUCCAUUAUCCCGCCACGGACAUCCCUCAAGCCUCUCGGUUUCUGUUCAAACAGAAUAGGGUUAGGAUGAUUGCCGAUUGCCGUGCGAAUCCCGUGAAGGUAAUCCAAGAUGAGCGCCUGCAGCAGCCUCUCUGUCUUGUGGGCUCGACCCUUAGAGCUCCCCAUGGUUGUCAUGCGCAGUACAUGGCCAACAUGGGAUCGGUUGCUUCGCUUGCCAUGGCUGUUAUCAUUAACAACAGCGGUGAGGAAGAAGUUUCCAAGAAUUCAAUGAAGUUAUGGGGUCUUGUUGUUUGUCAUCACACCUCUCCGCGGUGCAUUCCAUUUCCGCUUCGAUAUGCAUGUGAGUUCUUGAUGCAGGCUUUUGGUUUGCAAUUGAAUAUGGAGCUACAGUUGGCUUCACAGAUGUCAGAGAAGCACAUUUUGAAAACUCAAACACUUUUGUGUGAUAUGUUACUUCGUGAUUCUGCUGUUGGAAUUGUAAAUCAGAGCCCUAGUAUAAUGGAUCUUGUUAAGUGUGAUGGUGCUGCGCUGUAUUAUCAGGAAAAAUACUAUCCUCUUGGUGUCACUCCAACUGAAGCUCAGAUCAAAGAUAUAAUUGAAUGGUUGCUCACGUUUCAUGGGGAUUCUACCGGAUUGAGCACGGAUAGCUUGGUUGAUGCUGGGUUUCCUGGUGCUUCUUCCCUUGGGGAUGUUGUUUGUGGAAUGGCAGUUGCAGCUAUCUCUUCAAAGGAUUACUUGUUCUGGUUCCGAUCACAGACGGCAAAGGAGGUCAAGUGGGGUGGUGCAAAGCAUCACCCAGAUGACAAAGAUGAUGGCACCAAAAUGCAUCCACGUUCUUCAUUCAAAGCUUUCUUGGAGGUGGUCAAAAGCAGGAGCUUGCCAUGGGAGAAUGCAGAGAUGGAUGCAAUAUACUCAUUGCAGCUUAUACUAAGAGAUUCUUUCAAGGACACUGAUAGAACGAGUGAUUCGAAGGCAAUGAUAAGUGGGCAGUUGGGUGACAUGGAUGUACAAGGGAUCAAUGAGCUCAGCUCUGUUGCAAGGGAGAUGGUGCGGUUAAUAGAGACUGCAACUGUACCGAUCUUUGCAGUUGAUGCAGAUGGCUUAAUAAAUGGUUGGAAUGCUAAGGUUGCUGAACUAAUCGGUCUUUCUGUUGAGGAAGCCAUGGGAAAAUCACUGGUAAAAGAUCUUGUAUUUGAGGAUUCUGCUGCAAAAGUUGAGAAAUUUCUUUUCCGCGCCUUAAGAGGUGAGGAAGACAAAAAUGUGGAGAUAAAGUUACGAACAUUUGGCUCACAGCAACAGAAGAAAGCAUUAUAUGUCAUGGUAAAUGCUUGUUCUAGCAGGGAUUACACUAACGAAAUAGUUGGAGUCUGUUUUGUUGGCCAGGAUAUUACUGGGCAGAAGGCAGUUAUGGAUAAGUUUACUCACAUUCAAGGUGAUUAUAAAGCCAUUGUGCACAGUCUCAACCCUCUGAUUCCUCCCAUAUUUGCCUCAGAUGAAAACACUUGUUGCUCAGAAUGGAAUGUUGCUAUGGAGAGGCUUACAGGAUGGUUGAGAAGAGAUAUGAUUGGAAAACUACUUGUUGGAGAAGUUUUUGGCAGUUGCUGCCGACUAAAGGGCCCAGAUGCCCUUACAAAGUUCAUGAUUGUCCUCCAUAAUGCAGUUGAAGGGAAGGAAACUGAGAAAUCCCCGGUUGUAUUUUUUGAUCGAAAUGGAAAAUAUAUUCAGGCACUCUUGACUGCAAAUCCAAGAAGAGAUAUGGAAGGCAAAGUUACUGGAGCUUUUUGCUUCUUUCAGAUAGCAAGUCCAGAGCUGCAACAAGCUCUUGAAGUUCAGAGGCAGCAGGAAAAGAGAUGCUUUGCCAAAAUGAGAGAGCUGGCUUACAUUUGUCAAGAGAUAAGAAAUCCCCUGAGUGGGAUUCAAUUCACAAACUCUCUUUUGCUGAUGACAGAGUUAUCUGAUGACCAGAAGCAAUUUAUCGAAACUAGUAAUUCUUGCACAAGGCAGAUGAGGAAAGUUCUAAAUUAUGUUGGUCUGGAGAGUAUCGAGAAUGGUUCAUUGGAGCUUGAAAAAUGUGAAUUUAUACUUGGAAGUGUUAUAAAUGCUGUGGUGAGUCAAGUGAUGAUUCUAUUGAGAGAACGAGACUUGCAAUUGAUUCGAGAUAUUCCUGAAGAGGUAAAAAUAAUUUCUGUUCAUGGUGAUGAACUUCGAAUUCAACAAGUCUUGGCUGAUUUCCUUUUGAGUAUGGUGUGUUGUGCACCAUCACCUGAAGGAUGGGUGGAAAUCCAGAUUAAACUAAGCCUAAAACAGAAUUCUGAUGGAAGUGAUGCAGUACUUUUACAAUUCAGGAUAGCUUGCCCUGGUGAGGGAUUACCACCAGACGUAGUCCAAGAUAUGUUCAAUAACUCAAGCUGGAUGACUAAAGAAGGCCUUGGACUAAGCAUUUGCCGGAGAAUCCUCGGGAUAAUGAAUGGAGGAGUGCAAUAUAUCAGGGAGUCAGAAAAGUGUUAUUUCCUCAUCACUAUUUGGCUCCCUGUUUCUCAAACGCCAAAAGGAGAUCAGAACUAAGUUUCUCAGUGACUUUGGAUCUUUUUACAUAAAAAUGAGGAAUAUUUUUCCUUCAGAUCAUACUAUUCCAUCAACAAGAUCAGCAAGCUCCCAUGAUUUUGUUUGUAGCAGUUGUAUAGUAAUAUAUUUACAAUAUCUUUUGAUAUUUUUCUGGUCGUGAAAGUUGCAGUAUUGGACGGGUGAGUAGGUGCAAGCAUUACUUAAACGUCCUUUGGGCUUAUUGUGGCCAAUCGUUUAGCAUAAGAAGUCAGGUUUUAAAUAUUAUUGGAACUAAUUUUAUAUUUUUAUGGUUAAUUUAAACAUGAAUUGAGUUGAUCUUGAGCAAACUAUAUCUUCUAGUUUUGGGGAUUCGGAGUGUAUAAAUAUAUGUUCUAAGGUAUGCAAUUGAUUAAUUUUGAUUUGAAUGAAAUUUAUCUUGCUGGUUUUCAA
Dendrobium catenatum is the source of this 3914-nucleotide RNA transcript. It is a transcript of the gene named phytochrome B, with no coding region annotated. NCBI's taxonomy places the organism in Eukaryota, Viridiplantae, Streptophyta, Magnoliopsida, Asparagales, Orchidaceae. The transcript is spliced from 5 exons. The record is from RefSeq and is a predicted model, not a curated record.